Molecule: ribosomal RNA, 487 nt
Filed under: uncultured bacterium
Lineage: Bacteria
Description: partial 16S ribosomal RNA
Rfam family: Bacterial small subunit ribosomal RNA
Source: RNAcentral
GAUGAACGCUGGCGGCGUGCUUAACACAUGCAAGUCGAACGAAGCACUUUGAAACUUUCGGGUUUCAAAGUGACUGAGUGGCGGACGGGUGAGUAACGCGUGGGUAACCUGCCUUAUACAGGGGGAUAACAGUUAGAAAUGACUGCUAAUACCGCAUAACCCGAUAGAGUCGCAUGACUUAGUCGGAAAAGAUUUAUCGGUAUAAGAUGGACCCGCGUCUGAUUAGCUAGUUGGUGAGGUAAUGGCCCACCAAGGCGACGAUCAGUAGCCGGCUUGAUGGAGUGAACGGCCACAUUGGGACUGAGCCACGGCCCAAACUCCUACGGGAGGCAGCAGUGGGGAAUAUUGCACAAUGGGGGAAACCCUGAUGCAGCAACGCCGCGUGAAGGAAGAAGUAUUUCGGUAUGUAAACUUCUAUCAGCAGGGAAGAAAAUGACGGUACCUGACUAAGAAGCCCCGGCUAACUACGUGCCAGCAGCCGCCGUAA